This 266-nucleotide ribosomal RNA is filed under the name uncultured bacterium. Its description in RNAcentral is "partial 16S ribosomal RNA". It matches the Rfam family "Bacterial small subunit ribosomal RNA", at positions 793 to 1055 of the family's 1533-position model. The record is from RNAcentral.
GUCCACGCCCUAAACGAUGUGUGCUAGUUGUCGGGACCUUUAGGUCUCGGUGACGCAGCUAACGCUUUAAGCACACCGCCUGGGGAGUACGGUCGCAAGAUUAAAACUCAAAGGAAUUGACGGGGACCCGCACAAGCGGUGGAGCAUGUUGUUUAAUUCGAAGCAACGCGAAGAACCUUACCUACACUUGACAUACCUCUUAGGGCUUUCAGAGAUGAUUGCUUUCAGUUCGGCUGGGGAGAGUACAGGUGCUGCAUGGCUGUCGU